RNAcentral lists this ribosomal RNA (402 nucleotides) under Nematoda environmental sample. RNAcentral's name for it is "SSU rRNA". It matches the Rfam family "Eukaryotic small subunit ribosomal RNA", at positions 29 to 436 of the family's 1831-position model. Lineage: Eukaryota; Metazoa; Nematoda. The record is from RNAcentral.
UGCUUGUCUCAAAGAUUAAGCCAUGCAUGUCUAAGCAGAGCCCUUGAAUGGUAAAGCCGCGAAUGGCUCAUUACAACAGCCACAGUUUAUUGGGUCUCCAUUUACUUGGAUAACUGAGCUAAUUGUUGAGCUAAUACACGCACCAAAGCUUCGACCUCACGGGAGGAGCGCAUUUAUUAGAACAAAACCAAUCGGACUUCGGUCCGUCCAUUGGUGAAUCUAAAUAACUUAGCCGAUCGCAUGGUCUCGCACCGGCGACUCACCUUUCAAAUGUCUGCCUUAUCACCUUUCUAUGGUAGUUUAUACGCCUACCAUGGGUUUUACGGGUAACGGAGAAUAAGGGUUCGACUCCGGAGAGGGAGCCUGAGAAACGGCUACCACAUCCRAGGAAGGCAGCAGGCA